UGAGCGGAACUCUCUGUAUUGCUUUUGUUUUUCACUCUCUCUCCGAGAAGACGGUAUGGAGAGAAGCCAUGUUUUCUUUGUCCUGAUUUAUGUAGAAUAUAUGCGUAGUUUAGUAUCGUGUCCACACCUCAAGUCUCAUCUGUUGUGCAGUUUACACUAAUGAGUAAUAUGUGCUCAAGCCUGCUCUGCAGCUUGAGUCACAGACGCACGUCAGGGAGGAUGACUGAUGGAUCUCCGCAGUGGCAAGGCUGAGAGGGGAGACGCUCCAGUUGGAGCCAAGCCAACUGGCUUUUCAUCCCCGGUUCUGACAGGGUCACCAACGUGCCUUCUGCCAGUACUCUAAUAAAGGUAAAGGUAAAGGACCCCUGACAAUUAAGUCCAGUCACGAAGGACUCUGGGGUCACCCCGUAAAUAUCCCCACAGAAAUCUACAAUGAAAGAAAGACUGCUUGCUCUUCCUGCUCAGUUUGAAUUUGCACUGGUUUGGCGUCUGCCACAUUGAACACACCCCAUUAAACAUCCUCACAUUUCAUUGGAUGCCACACUGAACAGAGGAGAGGUGCAAAGGAUGUUUCUCUGUAAGUACAACAGAGGUGUCCUUUUCCCAUAGCUUCCUCCAUUUUGUGGUCCUGUCUCUUUUUCAGGUCCUUCAGAUGCGGCAGCCAUUUUGUGUUAUGCCACACACUGCCCAUUACUCCCCCCCCAAAAAAACCCCAAAUGUGCCCACUGGCCCCAACACCUGGGUUAACUUUAAAAAUUCCAAGCUUCCAUGUUUUAAAUACAGUGGUACCUCGGGUUACAUACGCUUCAGGUUACAGACUCUGCUAACCCAGAAAUAGUACCUCAGGUUAAGAACUUUGCUUCAGGAUGAGAACAGAAAUCGCACGACGGCGCCACGGCGGCAGCGGGAGGCCCCAUUAGCUAAAGUGGUGCUUCAGGUUAAGAACAGUUUCAGGUUAAAAACAGACCUCCAGAACAAAUUAAGUUCUUAACCUGAGGUACCACUGUACACAAAAUAAAUACUGUAUUUCCAAAGCAAGACAACAAGCAGCAACUGCUAAAUAGUCCAUUUUUAAUUACAUGUGAGUAAAAUGGGGGCACAUACAAUAACUCUUCAUACCAGGAUAGUGAGCUGCAAAAUGUGGGGGGAAGUAUUUGGACAGAAUGCUUAUGCGUUCCAUUUUCUGCAUUUCUUUGUAUAGAAUUUUCAGGCAAGAAUAUACAGCCGAGCAAGAGAGAGCGCUUUUGUGUUUGCUUCCACUUAAUGGUUUCUUUGGCCUGUGUUCCGAAAGUCAGCUCGUGUUUCUAUUUCAAGAUGCAUGAACUUCACUAUAUAUUCAUCUGAGCAAGUAAAAACACAAUCUCCUCCAAGGGCAAGAUUACUUGUGGAUUAUAGAACAUUGACAGUUUCUUCAUUCUGUGUGUCUAGAAUACUUUCCUCUCUCUCUCUCUUUUUUCUCUCUCUGGGCCGUCAUUCUCCAUAAACAUCAGAACAACUUG
Podarcis lilfordi (Lilford's wall lizard) is the source of this 1499-nucleotide non-coding RNA. The record is from the annotation of a GenBank genome assembly. NCBI's taxonomy places the organism in Eukaryota, Metazoa, Chordata, Lepidosauria, Squamata, Lacertidae.